Trichonephila inaurata madagascariensis is the source of this 69-nucleotide non-coding RNA. The record is from the annotation of a GenBank genome assembly. Lineage: Eukaryota; Metazoa; Arthropoda; Arachnida; Araneae; Nephilidae.
GUGUAGUGCAAUGGUUAGCUCGUUGGAUUUCUAAUCCAAAGGUUGUGGGUUCGAAUUCCACCUGAGAUG